UUCGCAAUGCCCGAAAGGGUGAACGAGCGACGCCGCGUGCGGGAUGAAGGGUUUCGGCUUGUAAACCGCUUUUCUUUGGGAAGAAGGUCUGUCUCGUGCGGAUGGGCUCGACGGUACCAGAGGAAUAAGCCUCGGCUAGCUCCGUGCCAGCAGCCGCGGUAAGACGGAGGAGGCGAGCGUUGUUCGGAAUUAUUGGGCGUAAAGGGCGCGUAGGCGGAUCGGUAAGUCUGGCGUGAAAUCUCCACCGCUUAACGGGGAGAGGUCGCUGGAAACUACCGAUCUGGAGUUCGGCAGAGGACCAUGGAAUUCCAGGUGGAGCGGUGGAAUGCGUAGAUAUCUGGAAGAACACCGGUAGCGAAGGCGGUGGUCUGGGCCGAAACUGACGCUGAGGCGCGAAAGCCAGGGGAGCAAACGGGAUUAGAUACCCCGGUAGUCCUAGCCGUAAACGAUGGGCACUAAGUAGAGGGGUUUU
RNAcentral lists this ribosomal RNA (472 nucleotides) under uncultured bacterium. RNAcentral's name for it is "bacterial SSU rRNA". It matches the Rfam family "Bacterial small subunit ribosomal RNA", at positions 364 to 832 of the family's 1533-position model. The record is from RNAcentral.